Molecule: unclassified non-coding RNA, 348 nt
Filed under: soil metagenome
Description: partial contains 5.8S ribosomal RNA, internal transcribed spacer 2, and large subunit ribosomal RNA
Rfam family: 5.8S ribosomal RNA (bases 1-120)
Source: RNAcentral
GAUGAAGAACGUAGCAAAAUGCGAUAAGUAAUGUGAAUUGCAGAAUUCAGUGAAUCAUCGAAUCUUUGAACGCACAUUGCGCCCGCUGGUAUUCCGGCGGGCAUGCCUGUUCGAGCGUCAUUUCAACCCUCAAGCCCCCGGGUUUGGUGUUGGGGAUCGGCUCUGCCCUUCUGGGCGGUGCCGCCCCCGAAAUACAUUGGCGGUCUCGCUGCAGCCUCCAUUGCGUAGUAGCUAACACCUCGCAACUGGAACGCGGCGCGGCCAUGCCGUAAAACUCCAACUUCUGAAUGUUGACCUCGGAUCAGGUAGGAAUACCCGCUGAACUUAAGCAUAUCAAUAAGCGGAGGA